This is a long non-coding RNA of Pelodiscus sinensis (Chinese soft-shelled turtle), 508 nucleotides long. RefSeq lists it as uncharacterized. The record is from RefSeq and is a predicted model, not a curated record. Lineage: Eukaryota; Metazoa; Chordata; Testudines; Trionychidae.
ACGUUCCUCCUCACUUCCUCGUACACAGAAUCAUACACAUCCAUCAUGGCAUCUUCCACCUACAAAGAAGACAUGUCCAGUCUCAGUGACACACCUGUGACAACAUUAUCUGCCAGUGCCUUGAAGUCUGGGUUGUAGUUUGAGAUUGCUAGUCGUAUACAGUCCAUCAGAUGGGCAUCUGUGAGGCGGAUGUGAUGCUUGGACUGGAUUAUCUUCAUUUGGGAGAAUGCUGUCUCUCAGAGGGGCAAAAGGGUGAGAAGAUCCUCCUUAGUUGCCAUAUCCUUAAAAACCAUGUACACAAAAACAAUCAGCUGGACUCUGUAAGUCAUGUCGACAGAUUCAUCGAACUGCAGGGAUAAGCAUUUGCAGUCCUUCAGGUCCUGCUAUAGUUGCUAAAAGACGUCUUCAGACAAAGAUUCCACUCGUGUUGCUACUGCGGAAGCAUCAAGUGACAUGCUCUGAAUUGCUAACAUUAUUUCUUCUUUGUUUUUAAAAUCUUUGAAUAAAG